GCAGACCGUUUUACACACAGAUGCUGCAGAUGACAGCUCACUAACAGUGUUUUAAAAACAACAAACAGCACGUUUCCCAGCUUAUCGACACAUAAUAAGGACGCACUAUGUGAUAAAGAGUGUCUGGAGUGUCAAACGACUCACCUAAUAAGGCAUUUGUUUGGACCUUACAGUCAUCAGGCGCAAAGCUUUGGGACUUUUGGACUACAUUUACUGGUGUGAUAGACAUCUGCUGUGGACAGAGAAUAAGGGAUGUGUUUGGACUGUACAGCCAACAGAAACAGAGCUCCAGGACGUUUGGACAGCCGUUUGGACAUCUGCUGAUGCUCAGUUUAAAUUGAAAUACAUGCGCUGAAAAAGCCAAUAAAGCACCCAAGGUGGACCUGGGCUGAUUCUCCACACAUUAACAUCACCACAUAGGGCACGCUGUCAAGGGGAAAGAAGGGGUCCGAGGACAGAAGAGAGUCACUAAGCCCAGGUAGGAGUCAUCCCUCAAGGCCGCUGGCACAUUUAAACUACAGCAAGCCCUUAAGCUUCAGAUCGGGAUUUCUUUCUGCCCUCCCAGUUGUGCAAUAACUAAACUUGGACACGCAAGGUCAGGGAGAAGGAUGGAGGAUGCAGUGAAGUGGAACUCAUAGGCAGCCACCCCUUCUCUACACAGCAGAGCUGGAUGGCCACCCACUCUACUGCAUCAUGG
This is a non-coding RNA of Danio rerio (zebrafish), 697 nucleotides long. NCBI's taxonomy places the organism in Eukaryota, Metazoa, Chordata, Actinopteri, Cypriniformes, Danionidae. The record is from Ensembl.